RNAcentral lists this ribosomal RNA (252 nucleotides) under uncultured bacterium. RNAcentral's name for it is "partial 16S ribosomal RNA". It matches the Rfam family "Bacterial small subunit ribosomal RNA", at positions 524 to 776 of the family's 1533-position model. The record is from RNAcentral.
UACGUAGGGUGCAAGCGUUGUCCGGAAUUAUUGGGCGUAAAGAGCUCGUAGGCGGUCUGUCGCGUCUGCUGUGAAAACCCGAGGCUCAACCUCGGACCUGCAGUGGGUACGGGCAGACUAGAGUGCGGUAGGGGAGAUUGGAAUUCCUGGUGUAGCGGUGGAAUGCGCAGAUAUCAGGAGGAACACCGAUGGCGAAGGCAGAUCUCUGGGCCGUAACUGACGCUGAGGAGCGAAAGCAUGGGGGAGAACAGG